GGAAAGCUUCUUUUUUGAAAAUAAGGCACAUGUCAUCAAAUAAAGAACUGUUUUCAUCCAAAAUAUUCAUUUCAUUCAUACAAUACCAUUUACAAAGAGUUUAUACAAAAAUUACAACAACAAAAAUUGAUUUUGACCAACAGUUGACUUUGGUUAACUGUUGACUUUUUGGUCAACCAGUUGACCAAAGUCAACUAAUCUAAUCCUUAGUCCUAAUUGUUGAUUUUUCACUUUGAUUCUUCAUUUUUCAUCUUCUCUUUUAACUUCAUGGCCAAGAUUACUUUGUUUGCAAGUAAGUCGUCAUCAUGGUUCAUGGUACCUUCAUUCCAAGUAUCUUGAAGCAUGAUCCAAACUCCAAGUAUAAAGUCAGCCUUGAACAUCAUCCUGCAAAACCAUCCCAAGUAAUGCAUCAUCAUUAACAAUACAACAAGUCAUUCCAUACAUAUUAUUACAACCAUAAAUAACCUAACAGCUAGCAUCCAAUUGACAAUAAACAUAUAGCAAUUCAUCUAAUUCUAACAUGGCUUGCAUUUCACAUUCAUAACUAGCUUAGCAUUCAUAAUUGCCCAAACUGCACCACAAACAUGUUAAUAGUAAUUUCAUUUCAAAACCCCCAUCCAAUGCAUGUUCAUAUCAAUUUAACAUUUCACUCAUAUCCACUCAAACAUUACAACAUACAUAAACAUUAGCAUGAAUCAUACAUCAUAUUCUCUAGCAAUUUGAUGACACGUUCCAUGUAUAAUUCAUGUCAUUUCAUUCCAUACAUUCAUAAACCACACUUCAGCCUUAACCUAACCCUAAGCAUCAUAACACAAUUUAGAAUCACACAAGACAAUUAGCAUUUAGAGCCAUCCAUAUCAUAGUCCAAACCAAGGCAAUGCAUUCAUGAUGAUCAUGUCAAUUCAAAUAGAUUCAUGCUUCACUAACAUAACUUCUAUUCAUUACAAACUAACAUCCAAACUCAAGCAUCAUAACAUGCGGCAUUAUACCAAGUUAGAACUAAUAUAAUUUUAACAUUAACCGUCUAACCUCUUUUAAAAUUCAUAAUCUGUUUUGAACUUCAUUCUAAUAACAGUUAACCAAUUAUAAUCUAAUUGGACAAAGCUUAAUAGCAAGCCAACUUACCCCUAACUUCAAUCAACUUCAUCCAAGUUCUAAACCAAUUAUAAUUAACCAAGCUAACAGGACCCUUAGUUAAUUUCACAUCUAAGCUCGAACUAAUUUCAUGACAUUGAAUUCACCAACUAACUAAUCCAGCUCAAUAUAAUUAACUUCCUCACAAACCAUAACAAAAAAUCAUAAUAGAGACUAACUUCUAACAGAAACUGAACCUUAACUAACUCUCCAAAAUCCCUAGAAUUAACAGAGUUAUAACUCUCAAUUGCUAUUCACCUGAUUGAGAUUAAUAGAGUUAAGCUAUGUUAAUCUUCAAUCCCUAUAAAAUCCAUCAUCACACUGAAAAUCAGUCCCUUCGAAUGACCAAUUCAUUCACUCACAAUAUCAUAAUCCUUUCUCUCCAAUCAUUGCUUCACUCUCAUCAAUUCAUAGAACCUCUCACUCUCUUAUCAAUUCAUAAAACCUCUCAAUCUUUCAAACUCCCAUGCUCUCAAUCACUCACUCACCCAUAAUAACAACUCUUAGAAGCAAGAAGAGAAGAGAAGAAGCAGAACAUCGUGAAAGGAAGAAAGAGAGAAGAAUUGGACAGUACCUCUCAUUUCUUCUUUGCCGUCGUCUUCAUCUCCAUAUUCUUCGGCAGGUAGGUCAAGUAUCCUUCAUCAUUUCGCUUUGAAUCAGAUACCAUGAUGUAGCUUAGGGCUUGAGGAACCAAAGCCCCAACCAAUUGGACUUUGAUUCCCCAUUGGGAGAUUUUAAUUUAUGAAUUCAUAAUUAGGGUUCUUGAGGUAUUUGGCUUGGUUAGGGUGAUUUCUUUAGGAUUAUGAAGAAUGGAUGAAUGAUUUGUGUAGAGGAGAGUGAGAUGCGUUCAAUGAUGUAUGAGUUAUCAUGUUUGGCCCUCAGCCGCCGCCGGAGGCGAUUUCCGGUGCAGCAGAGUUUGGUUUUCUUGGGUCAUAUGUGAAUAAGUGAGAUGUUUGAUUAUGAGCGUGUUUUUUAGUUUGACCUGAACUCUCUUCCCCCAUAUUUCAUGUGAGUCUUCG
This 2153-nucleotide long non-coding RNA is filed under the name Lathyrus oleraceus (garden pea). Its description in RNAcentral is "Pisum sativum (pea) long non-coding RNA (PSAT_LNC011626)". The record is from RNAcentral. Lineage: Eukaryota; Viridiplantae; Streptophyta; Magnoliopsida; Fabales; Fabaceae.